Molecule: long non-coding RNA, 981 nt
Organism: Panthera uncia (snow leopard)
Lineage: Eukaryota; Metazoa; Chordata; Mammalia; Carnivora; Felidae
Exons: 3
Source: RefSeq, a predicted model, not a curated record
GCUGCCCAGUGGGUUCUCAAACUUAAGGCAGAGCAUAGGAAAAAUGCAGGACUGGGUCUGCACAUCUAUCCAUAGAAUGGACCUGACUAUCUACACUUGGUGUAGUGAUUUCCUUUCUGGAUAUUUGAAGUGCUAUACAUACUGUUUCCAAACUACUGUUGAGAAGGACUUUGAUAAAGGCAUUGGAAGAAUCUAACAAGGGUCAAAGGAUAUGUAUGUUCUCAAAGUGCUUCCCCUUCUCCAUGGAAACAGAAUGCCACCAUCCAUUAUAUGGAGAACUAGGUGUACAAGGGAACCUAUUGUAAUGCCAAAAAUUCUUCCUGGUGCACAGAGUAGACAACCAAAACCUAUCCUUUACUCUCUAUGUGAUGUCCAUAAAAACUGCAUAGAUGGCAACCACUGAUAAUGCAGAAUAAUGGUUCCAAAUGCCACUCCAUAAACGAGCAGAAUUUAGACUCUGGAACAGAAAGUAAGACCAUGAGAAAAAAAGACACUAUCAAGAAAGAACCAAGCUUCUGCUAGGGCAGGAUGCCAGAGGAGAUGAACCUCAGUGAUGUAAAGCAGAUCCAUCAGACAGGCGGAAGUAGUACUUUAGAAACAGCUGGAUCAGGAUGUUCAGCAGCGACUGAUUCCAUGGCAUUUAUGCUGAUGGGUGCGGUGAUGUUACUUCCUUGGCUUUAGUAACUGAGCCCUUCCACCCCGACACACCUGUCUUAUUGGGAUCUUGAUUUCCCCCCGUCUUCAUCUGACUGGAAUAAAAAAAUCUUUUUGAAUGUAACAAUUAUAUUUAUGAAAAGGUAUGUCACACUAACUUCUUAUAAGCCAAGGGGGAACGUUCACGAAUUAUCUAAAAAUGAUAGACUGUUUGAAAACAUGUCUUCUAUGAUCCUAACUUAAAUCUUCUUAAAUUCUAACACAUUAAACCUGCAAAUGUGAAGAGCACAGAAGUGACUUUGAAUAAGAAGGAUUCAGUAUACCUGU